This 463-nucleotide ribosomal RNA is filed under the name uncultured bacterium. RNAcentral's name for it is "bacterial SSU rRNA". It matches the Rfam family "Bacterial small subunit ribosomal RNA", at positions 335 to 795 of the family's 1533-position model. The record is from RNAcentral.
ACUCCUACGGGAGGCAGCAGUGAGGAAUAUUGGUCAAUGGGCGGAAGCCUGAACCAGCCAUGCCGCGUGCAGGAUGACGGCCCUACGGGUUGUAAACUGUUUUUGCGCGGGACGAAUAACCCCCUCGUGAGGGGGGAUGCCGGUACCGCGCGAAUAAGGAUCGGCUAACUCCGUGCCAGCAGCCGCGGCAAUACGGAGGAUCCGAGCGUUAUCCGGAUUUACUGGGUUUAAAGGGUGCGUAGGCGGGCGCCUAAGUCAGCGGUGAAAUGCAGCGGCUCAACCGUUGAGCUGCCGUUGAUACUGGGCGCCUUGAAUUCGGUCGAGGCCGGCGGAAUGCACGGUGUAGCGGUGAAAUGCUUAGAUAUCGCGCAGAACGCCGAUUGCGAAGGCAGCUGGCCGGGCCGAGAUUGACGCUGAGGCACGAAAGCGUGGGGAUCGAACAGGAUUAGAUACCCUGGUAGUC